CUAAUUUAUCUACCUAUCUAUAGAUAUCUAAAAUGAAAGACUUAAUUAAGACUGGAAUUGCCUUAGGUUUCUCUAUAGUUAGUACAGCAAAGUAGGCUUCUCCAGAGACAACUUCACUCUCUGGUGAGAGUGAGAGAGUCUCCAGAGAGAUUCCAUAGUCAAUUUAGAUUAUUAAAUCAGGUUUUAAAGUUACAAAACUGCAGAAGUUAGGUUGGAAGAUUGAUAUAAAUUUUGAUCUAGGUGAGAUUAAUUCCACACAUAAAAAAUGAAUAAAUAAAUCACUAUUUCUUGCUAUUUGUGGUAUUGGUAGAUCUGUAUAGAAAUGCCUGACUUACAUGGGUUUCUUCAAGCUCAUUGGUGUUAUCUGGGUAUCAAUGAAUUUCUUUCCCCAUCUUAGUUUUGGUCUUAGUGUACAGACUGCCAGUUGUGUAUAAAUGUUUUUUUCUCUUCUGACCCAAGCACUUGCCUCUCAAGAUAAAUCCAAUCAAACAAUGGAGCAUGUUUUCCAACAAAUGUUUCCAGUAGGAAUGCUGAAAUAUAGAAUCUCAUACAGAUGAGAGGGGUUUUGAUCCCCCUGACCCGAGGUGUCCUUCCUACCAGGCUUGGGACUUUCCUGCACUCUUCCAUGUCCUCGAACACCUGUCAAGGUGUAAUUGCUGUUGUGAAAUGUAGAAGACCUGCCCCUUGCACCUCUCACCCAACAUGUUUUCUACUGCUGUCAAACUGUGAAAAGAGUACAGAGUUGUGA
Molecule: long non-coding RNA, 748 nt
Filed under: Anas platyrhynchos platyrhynchos (common mallard)
Lineage: Eukaryota; Metazoa; Chordata; Aves; Anseriformes; Anatidae
Description: lncRNA (ENSAPLG00000016915.1)
Source: RNAcentral